Molecule: long non-coding RNA, 1485 nt
Organism: Ornithorhynchus anatinus (platypus)
Lineage: Eukaryota; Metazoa; Chordata; Mammalia; Monotremata; Ornithorhynchidae
Exons: 4
Source: RefSeq, a predicted model, not a curated record
GUGCUCAGUACAGUGCUCUGCACACAGCAAAUAAUAAAUACCAUUGAUUGAUUAAAAACAAUACUAUAGAUAACAGCAAUAAGAAAAUGUGUAAGCAUGUGACAAUGGUUCUUAAAGAUUUUUAUCUAACUGGAGGAUAAUGUGACACUGCAAAGCAAUAAAUCUAGACAAACAUUCAGUAUAAGAUUUGUUUUUGUCCAAAUGCUGCUGACUUUUUACUUACGGAUGCAUGUAUUUCGAGGGUCGGGAGGAAGGAGUUGAUUCUCCUCUUGGCUCAUUCUUGGAUUCUAGCUAUAAGGGAGGUCUUAUUUGCUGUAACAUUGGGCUCCAUAUUAAAGGCUUGGCAACAUACAACACAAGCAUGUGCCACAUUCCCAAGGUUCUUAUUAUAAUAGAGGAAACAGAUAUGAAAACAUUUACUAAUGGGAUAAGUAAUCAGAACAAAUAAUUUGCACAUAUGAGCAUAGAGAUACUGAGAGAGGGUGGGCAUAAAUACACUCUACAAGUGCUAUGGAUGGCUAACUGUUCUGAAAACCAAAUAUAAAUUUGAAAAAAAGAAAAUAUUCUGUAGUCGAGCAAAUCCAACCUUAAUGCUAAAGAAACAUACAAAUGUCCUGUGCAGUUAAAGCUCCUCGUGGUACUUAUUCUAUAAUUUAACUAAGAGGAGUCCUGGUAAGUUUACAAAACUUCAGGGAGAGAAUGGUAAAAAGGGAUGGUUCUCGUACUGAAUGUAAUAGGUAUAAAGGCCCUAUAAUUCAUUUAUAAAGGAUUAGAAGGUAUCUUGAUUUAACCUUGUUGCUUUUAAAGUGUUUUGGUCAUUUUCAUACAAAAUAAUUGAUCCUCUGGUUUCUCUGUCCUUGUCCCAAUCAUCCCAAAGUCACAGGAAUAUCCAGGAGGCUGCUCAUUACUUGCAGGAAGCUUUAGAAUGUAACUUAGAGUGACUUGAUUCUGAAAAUUUCUCUAGUCUAAUGCAGCAGGCCUACUCAUCCAGCUACUCAGAAGGGGUGGAGAGAAGCCAGCUCCCUAUGGAUAAAACAUCAUCAUGGUCCAAACUUGAGGAAGUCACUGCCGUAGAUUUUGCGCACUGAUCAAAAUGCCACAGUUACCACCAGGUUCUCAAGAAAAACAGAAAAGUUGUCUGAGACAUCCUCUUGCUGAAAAUCUUCAGGACUGGAUGGAAACUCAUCUGUCGUUCACAAUGGGAGACCGCAUUAUCAUCAAUCAGAUGAAUCAGACUGCAUUAUCUUGGGCGUUCCUCUGACUGUUUGGGAAGAGCGUGGAACCUAGAGUGUCAGACAUGCCUUAGGAGGGAACAGCAGAACCAGUGUGUUACCUCUCCUCAGGGAGCUUUGAAUUCACCAGACCCAACCCUGUUUGAGCGUUCCAAAAAUUAUGCAGCAAAGUGGGACGAUGAUGCAAGUAAAUAUACUUUUAAGGUUGGCUGUUGACAUGACUUGGAUAAUCUUCCUGGAGGAGGUGGGAUUU